This is a transfer RNA of 66 nucleotides. It matches the Rfam family "tRNA". Rfam says of the family: Transfer RNA (tRNA) molecules are approximately 80 nucleotides in length. Their secondary structure includes four short double-helical elements and three loops (D, anti-codon, and T loops). Further hydrogen bonds mediate the characteristic L-shaped molecular structure. tRNAs have two regions of fundamental functional importance: the anti-codon, which is responsible for specific mRNA codon recognition, and the 3' end, to which the tRNAs corresponding amino acid is attached (by aminoacyl-tRNA synthetases). tRNAs cope with the degeneracy of the genetic code in two manners: having more than one tRNA (with a specific anti-codon) for a particular amino acid; and 'wobble' base-pairing, i.e. permitting non-standard base-pairing at the 3rd anti-codon position.
AUUUAAAUAGCUUAUAAGUAGAGCAUAACACUGAAGAUGUUAAGGAAAUUGAUUAAUUUUUAAAUA